This 451-nucleotide ribosomal RNA is filed under the name Donacia aquatica. Its description in RNAcentral is "partial 16S ribosomal RNA". The record is from RNAcentral. Lineage: Eukaryota; Metazoa; Arthropoda; Insecta; Coleoptera; Chrysomelidae.
GUCUUAUUGAUAAAUAAUUUUAAGUCUUGCCUGCCCCCUGUUUAAGAUUAAUGGCCGCAGUAUUUUGACUGUGCUAAGGUAGCAUAAUCAUUAGUUUUUUAAUUGAAAGCUGGAAUGAAUGGUGUUAUGAGAAAGUAACUGUCUCUUUUAUAAAAUUAAAAUUUUAUCUUUAAGUAAAAAAGCUUAAAUAAAGUUAAAAGACGAGAAGACCCUAUAGAAUUUUAUAUAAUCUAGGUUUUAAUUUAUUAGAAAUUAAAAUUUAUUAAUUAGUUUAUAUUUGAUUGGGGUGAUUAGAAAAUUUAAUAAUCUUUUCUUUAUAGUACCAUUGAUAUAUGAUUAUAUGAUUCAUUAAUAAUGAUUUAAGAAUAAAUUACCUUAGGGAUAACAGCGUAAUUUUUUUUUAUAGUUCAAAUAAAAAGAAAAGAUUGCGACCUCGAUGUUGGAUUAAAAU